AUUGAACGCUGGCGGCAUGCCUUACACAUGCAAGUCGAACGGCAGCAUGGGUGCUUGCACCUGAUGGCGAGUGGCGAACGGGAGAGUAAUGCAUCGGAACGUACCCGGAAGUGGGGGAUAACGUAGCGAAAGUUACGCUAAUACCGCAUAUUCUGUGAGCAGGAAAGCGGGGGAUCGCAAGCCCUCGCGCUUCCGGAGCGGCCGAUGUCGGAUUAGCUAGUUGGCGGGGUAACGGCCUACCAAGGCGACGAUCCGUAGCUGGUCUGAGAGGACGACCAGCCACACUGGGACUGAGACACGGCCCAGACUCCUACGGGAGGCAGCAGUGGGGAAUAUUGGACAAUGGGGGCAACCCUGAUCCAGCGACGCCGCGUGUAUGAAGAAGGCCUGCGGGUUGUAAAGCACUUUUAGUGGGGAUGAAAAGCACAUUGCUAAUACCAGUGUGUCUUGACCUAACCCAAAGAAAGAGCACCGGCUAACUCUGUGCCAGCAGCCGCGGUAA
RNAcentral lists this ribosomal RNA (502 nucleotides) under uncultured bacterium. RNAcentral describes it as "partial 16S ribosomal RNA". It matches the Rfam family "Bacterial small subunit ribosomal RNA", at positions 30 to 523 of the family's 1533-position model. The record is from RNAcentral.